CCCCUAACAUGAGACACUUUAUUAUC
This 26-nucleotide non-coding RNA is filed under the name Drosophila melanogaster (fruit fly). Lineage: Eukaryota; Metazoa; Arthropoda; Insecta; Diptera; Drosophilidae. The record is from RNAcentral.